RNAcentral lists this long non-coding RNA (557 nucleotides) under Homo sapiens (human). RNAcentral's name for it is "non-protein coding lnc-MRNIP-6:1". The record is from RNAcentral. Lineage: Eukaryota; Metazoa; Chordata; Mammalia; Primates; Hominidae.
CAGCCAACCCCCUCCCCAUCUGUUAACAAGGGGCUGAUGACAGCCUGAGAGCUUUCGGGAGGUGCUGCAGUGUCUGGCCCGUGCUUACCGCCCCAGGGCUCCGCAGGCUUGGACAGAGGGGGAGGGUGGACACACCACCAGCCUAGGGGUCCCCUCGACCCACAGGCUUAGCGGCUGGACCGUCUCACCAGACCGUGUCCCACAGGCCAAGCACCUGGCUAGCCAGUACUGGGGGUGCAGCCGCACAAUGGCCGGCCGUCGGGACCCCAGCCUGCCCUACCUGGAGCAGUACCGGAUUGAUGCCAGCCAGUUCCGGGAACUCUUUGCCAGCCUGACACCCUGGGCCUGUGGCUCCCACACACCUCUGCUGGCAGGGCGCAUGUUCAGGCUCCUGGACGAAAACAAGGACUCGCUGAUCAACUUCAAGGAGUUCGUGACAGGGAUGAGCGGGAUGUACCACGGGGACCUGACAGAGAAGCUCAAGGUGCUCUACAAGCUACACCUUCCCCCAGCUCUGAGCCCAGAGGAAGCCGAGUCAGCCCUGGAGGCGGCCCAUU